GAUGAACGCUAGCGGCAGGCCUAACACAUGCAAGUCGAGGGAUAAGCCUUCGGGCUAAGACCGGCGCACGGGUGCGUAACGCGUAUACAAUCUGCCUUUUAUCCGGGGGAUAGCCCGAAGAAAUUUUGAUUAAUACCCUAUGGUAUAAGAGCACGACAUCGUGCACUUAUUAACGCUACGGCGGUAAAAGAUGAGUAUGCGUUCUAUUAGCUAGUUGGAGAGGUAACGGCGACGCAAGGCGACGAUAGAUAGGGGUUCUGAGAGUGAUGUCCCCCACACUGGUACUGAGAUACGGACCAGAAUGCUACGGGAGGCAGCAGUGACGAAUAUUAGACAAUGGUCGGAAGACUGAUCCAGCCAUGCCGCGUGCAGGAUGACGGCCUUAUGGGUUGUAAACUGCUUUUGUAAGGGAAGAAUAAGGAGUACGUGUACUUUGAUGACGGUACCUUACGAAUAAGCAUCGGCUAACUCCGUG
RNAcentral lists this ribosomal RNA (475 nucleotides) under uncultured bacterium. RNAcentral describes it as "partial 16S ribosomal RNA". It matches the Rfam family "Bacterial small subunit ribosomal RNA", at positions 28 to 507 of the family's 1533-position model. The record is from RNAcentral.